Molecule: ribosomal RNA, 247 nt
Filed under: uncultured Bdellovibrio sp.
Lineage: Bacteria; Pseudomonadati; Bdellovibrionota; Bdellovibrionia; Bdellovibrionales; Pseudobdellovibrionaceae
Description: partial 16S ribosomal RNA
Rfam family: Bacterial small subunit ribosomal RNA
Source: RNAcentral
GUUUUUCGCUCUAAGAUGAGCCCGCGCAAGAUUAGCUAGUUGGUAGGGUAACGGCCUACCAAGGCGACGAUCUUUAGCUGGUCUGAGAGGAUGAUCAGCCACACUGGAACUGAGACACGGUCCAGACUCCUACGGGAGGCAGCAGUAGGGAAUAUUGCACAAUGGAGGAAACUCUGAUGCAGCGACGCCGCGUGAGUGAUGAAGGCCUUCGGGUCGUAAAGCUCUGUCGCAUGGGAAUAAGAAAGUG